GCGUCGAUGGUCUAGUGGUUAUGACUUGGGCCUUCCAGGCAGAUCUUAAUAUCUGCGAAGCAAGCCUACAACCCGGGUUCGAAUCCCGGUCGACGCAC
This 98-nucleotide transfer RNA is filed under the name Methanosaeta sp. PtaU1.Bin112. Its description in RNAcentral is "tRNA-Ser". It matches the Rfam family "tRNA". Rfam says of the family: Transfer RNA (tRNA) molecules are approximately 80 nucleotides in length. Their secondary structure includes four short double-helical elements and three loops (D, anti-codon, and T loops). Further hydrogen bonds mediate the characteristic L-shaped molecular structure. tRNAs have two regions of fundamental functional importance: the anti-codon, which is responsible for specific mRNA codon recognition, and the 3' end, to which the tRNAs corresponding amino acid is attached (by aminoacyl-tRNA synthetases). tRNAs cope with the degeneracy of the genetic code in two manners: having more than one tRNA (with a specific anti-codon) for a particular amino acid; and 'wobble' base-pairing, i.e. permitting non-standard base-pairing at the 3rd anti-codon position. The record is from RNAcentral. Lineage: Archaea; Methanobacteriati; Methanobacteriota; Methanomicrobia; Methanotrichales; Methanotrichaceae.